GGAGCCUGAGAAACGGCUACCACUUCUAAGGGAGGCAGCAGGCGCGCAAAUUACCCAAUCCCGGCACGGGGAGGUAGUGACGAAAAAUACGGAAACGGGACUCACUAGAGGCUCCGUUAUUCGAAUGAGUACAAUUUAAAUCCUUUAACGAGGAUCAACUGGAGGGCAAGUCUGGUGCCAGCAGCCGCGGUAACUCCAGCUCCAGAAGCGUAUAUUAAAGUUGUUGCAGUUAAAAAGCUCGUAGUUGGAUCUGGGUCGCAUGGCUACAUGCUGUUGCAUAUAUUCUCCGCCUGGUCACGAUCGGGUUGAGUUUAUAGCUCGGUGUAGUGGUUGUGCAGCCUUUCUGCCGUGUCUGUUUUACAGGUGCUGGCUGGUAGUUUUCUAUCAGUUGGCAUGCUUUCAGAUGCCUUUAAUCGGGUGUCGGGAGCGGACGGCAUGUUUACUUUGAACAAAUUUGAGUGCUCAAAGCAGGCCUUUGUGCCUGAAAAGUCUUGCAUGGAAUAAUGGAAUAGGACUUCGGUUCUAUUUCGUUGGUUUUCGGAUCCGAAGUAAUGGUUAAGAGGGACAGACGGGGGC
Molecule: ribosomal RNA, 576 nt
Filed under: Pronocephaloidea sp. Type_III
Lineage: Eukaryota; Metazoa; Platyhelminthes; Trematoda; Plagiorchiida
Description: SSU rRNA
Rfam family: Eukaryotic small subunit ribosomal RNA
Source: RNAcentral